This 31-nucleotide non-coding RNA is filed under the name Rattus norvegicus (Norway rat). Lineage: Eukaryota; Metazoa; Chordata; Mammalia; Rodentia; Muridae. The record is from RNAcentral.
CUCCAGUCUCCAUUUUUACCGGGAUCAGAAG